AACCAACUGGGAUUACCUUAGUAACGGCGAGUGAAGCGGUAAAAGCUCAAAUUUGAAAUCUAGCACUUUCAGUGUUCGAGUUGUAAUUUGAAGAAGGUAACUUUGGAAUUGGCUCUUGUCUAUGUUCCUUGGAACAGGACGUCACAGAGGGUGAGAAUCCCGUGCGAUGAGAUGCCCAAUUCUAUGUAAAGUGUUUUCGAAGAGUCGAGUUGUUUGGGAAUGCAGCUCAAAGUGGGUGGUAAAUUCCAUCUAAAGCUAAAUAUUGGCGAGAGACCGAUAGCGAACAAGUACAGUGAUGGAAAGAUGAAAAGAACUUUGAAAAGAGAGUGAAAAAGUACGUGAAAUUGUUGAAAGGGAAGGGCAUUUGAUCAGACAUGGUGUUUUUUAAAUGUGCAAGUCUCUCGUGGACAUGUGCCUCUGGAAAUUAACACUGGGCCAACGUCAGUUCUGGCGGCAGGAAAAUCUUUUGGAAUGUAGCUACCUCGGUAGUGUUAUAGCCUUUUGAAAUACUGUC
This 514-nucleotide ribosomal RNA is filed under the name uncultured Candida. RNAcentral's name for it is "eukaryotic LSU rRNA". It matches the Rfam family "Eukaryotic large subunit ribosomal RNA", at positions 63 to 575 of the family's 3401-position model. The record is from RNAcentral. Lineage: Eukaryota; Fungi; Ascomycota; Saccharomycetes; Saccharomycetales.